RNAcentral lists this ribosomal RNA (501 nucleotides) under uncultured bacterium. RNAcentral's name for it is "bacterial SSU rRNA". It matches the Rfam family "Bacterial small subunit ribosomal RNA", at positions 355 to 866 of the family's 1533-position model. The record is from RNAcentral.
UGGGGAAUCUUGGACAAUGGGGGCAACCCUGAUCCAGCCAUGCCGCGUGAGUGAUGAAGGCCUUAGGGUCGUAAAGCUCUUUCGCCUGUGAAGAUAAUGACGGUAGCAGGUAAAGAAACCCCGGCUAACUCCGUGCCAGCAGCCGCGGUAAUACGGAGGGGGUUAGCGUUGUUCGGAAUUACUGGGCGUAAAGCGCACGUAGGCGGACCAGAAAGUUGGGGGGUGAAAUCCCGGGGGCUCAACCCCGGAACUGCCUCCAAAACUAUUGGUCUAGAGUUCGAGAGAGGUGAGUGGAAUUCCAAGUGUAGAGGUGAAAUUCGUAGAUAUUUGGAGGAACACCAGUGGCGAAGGCGGCUCACUGGCUCGAUACUGACGCUGAGGUGCGAAAGUGUGGGGGAGCAAAACAGGAUUAGAUACCCCUGGUAGUCCACACCGUAAAACGAUGAAUGCCCAGUCGUCGGGUAAGCAUGCUAUUCGGUGACACACCUAACGGAUUAAGCA